Molecule: long non-coding RNA, 875 nt
Organism: Monodelphis domestica (gray short-tailed opossum)
Lineage: Eukaryota; Metazoa; Chordata; Mammalia; Didelphimorphia; Didelphidae
Source: Ensembl
UGCCCCCCCACCCACGUUACUGUUCAGCAGUUGUUUGGGACCCUGCUGUGCCAUUUGGAUCAUCUGUUCUCUACAUGUGUUCAGCCCAGUGGACUUGUGCUGUGGUAAUAAUGAGGAGAAAGCCAGAAGUUUCUCUGGAGCUGAUAGUCUGUCUGCUGGGAUUAGAGAUUAAUAAGCAAUUACUUCUAUUAGAGGCAAGAAGAGAGAGGUUUUGAAGGACAAGACAAGAUGCAAGAGACUAAGCUGGGGACAGGUUUUGUCCAUCAAGACGAAGAUUCUAAAAUGGAAUGUUCCCAGGAGGAGUGGCAGUUGAGCAACAGUUUUCCUUCAAGACUCAGCUCAAGUACAGCCUUCUACGUGAAUCUUUUCCAGAUGCCCACAACUGCGAAUUCACCAAGAACUGAAAAAUCGAGCAUUAAUUUUGAAUAUUUUAUGUGAAGAAACUGAACCAAAGAAAGGUUAAGUCACUUGCCUAGCGUCACACAGAAGAGAUUGGAUUGGAAGUCAAAUUUUCCUGACUCUAGGCACCACCUACCUGCAAUUUCCAUUCUGAGUCAAUUUCUCCAUACUGAAAAGUUUUCAAGAAUGGUUAAGAUCAUAACUGUCUCUAUCAUCUAAUGACCAGAUUACAUAAAGAGAAGUUCAUCACCAAUUAUUUUACAACUGUUAAUGGAAGUUUUGACACACCAAAUGCAGGAAAUAUAGGAAUAGAAACUAAGUUGCUCAGUCCUCACUAUUUAUUUCUGCUUUUGUAAUGACAGUGGUGGAGGGGUGGAAAAAUAGAAAAGGAGGCAGAGGAUGCUAGGAAUCACAGUUUUAGGCCACUUAUAAAUAUCAAUUAACUGUAGAUAAUAAAAAUGUGAAGUCCUUGUGCA